UACGUAGGUCCCGAGCGUUAUCCGGAUUUAUUGGGUUUAAAGGGUGCGCAGGCGGCACGGCAAGCCGGCGGUCAAAUCGCGGGGCUCAACCCCGCCCAGCCGUCGGAACUGCCGGGCUAGAGUGGGCGAGAAGUGCGCGGAAUGCGUGGUGUAGCGGUGAAAUGCAUAGAUAUCACGCAGAACUCCGAUUGCGAAGGCAGCGCACCGGCGCCCUACUGACGCUCAGGCACGAAAGCGUGGGUAUCGAGCAGG
This 252-nucleotide ribosomal RNA is filed under the name uncultured bacterium. Its description in RNAcentral is "partial 16S ribosomal RNA". It matches the Rfam family "Bacterial small subunit ribosomal RNA", at positions 524 to 776 of the family's 1533-position model. The record is from RNAcentral.